AGAGUUUGAUCAUGGCUCAGGAUGAACGCUGGCGGCGUGGAUAAGGCAUGCAAGUCAAGGGGGCCCGCAAGGGCAACCGGCGAACGAGGUAGUAACACGUAGGUACGCACCCUAAAGUCGGGCAUAGCUCGCCGAAAGGCGGGGUAAUUUCCGAUACGGUGGAAACACCAAAGUAGCAAUACGCUUUAGGAGCGGCCUGCGGGCUAUCAGCUUGUUGGUAGGGUAAUGGCCUACCAAGGCGAUGACGGCUAGGGGGGGUGAGAGCCUGUUCCCCACCGAUGGAACUGAGACACGGUCCAUACACCUACGGGUGGCUGCAGUCGAGAAUCUUCCGCAAUGGGCGAAAGCCUGACGGAGCGACGCCGCGUGAUUGAUGAAGUCCCUAGGGACGUAAAGAUCUUUUAUGAGGGAGAAAGUUUAUUGAUAGUACCUCAUGAAUAAGGGGUUGCUAAACUCGUGCCAGCAGCAGCGGUAAUACGAGUGCCCCAAGCGUUAUCCGGAAUCACUGGGCGUAAAGCGUGUGUAGGCGGCUAUGUUAGUCCUUUGUAAAAUUCUUCGGCUUAACCGGGGGACCGCGGGGGAAACGGCAUGGCUUGAGGAUGUGAGGGGUGCAUGGAACUCAUGGUGUAGGGGUGAAAUCCGUUGAUAUCAUGGGGAACACCAAAAGCGAAGGCAGUGCACUGGCACAUUCCUGACGCUCAAACACGAAAGCGUAGGUAGCGAAUGGGAUUAGAUACCCCAGUAGUCUACGCCCUAAACGAUGAUCGCUGGUUUUUCGGAGUAUCGACCCUCUGAGAGACGAAGCUAACGCGUUAAGCGAUCCGCCUGGGUAGUACGGCCGCAAGGCUAAAACUCAAAGGAAUAGACGGGGACUUGCACAAGCAGUGGAUUAUGUGGUUUAAUUCGAUGGUAAACGAAAAACCUUACCAAGGCUAGAAAUGGAGACGAAUCCUUCCAGAAAUGGUUGGAGCCGAAAGGCGGCUUCACAGGUGAUGCAUGGCCGUCGUCAGUUCGUGAUUUGAGUUGUUCCCUUCAGUGGGGUAACGAACGCAACCCUCGUUGCCUGUUAUAUUUGUCAGGCGAGACUGCCCCCAUUUUUGUUUAGGAUGUUUUGCAUCAUAAAUAAAAAUGGGGGAGGAAGGCGAGGAUGACGCCAGGUCAGCAUGUCCCUCUGAUGCCUUGGGCUACACACAUAAUACAAUCGCCACUACAACGGGUCGCGACGGGGUAACCCUGAGCUAAUCCUAAUAAAAGUGGCGCCAGUUCGGAUUGGGGGCUGAAACUCGACCCCAUGAAGCCGGAAUUGCUAGUAAUCGCGGGUCAGCUAUACCGCGGUGAAUACGUUCUCAAGUCUUGUACUCACCGCCCGUCAAGUCAAGGGAGUUGGGAGUACCCGAAGUCCCCGCUUUUGUGGGGCCUAAGGUAAAUUCAAUGACAGGGACUAAGUCGUAACAAGGUA
RNAcentral lists this ribosomal RNA (1459 nucleotides) under uncultured bacterium. Its description in RNAcentral is "bacterial SSU rRNA". It matches the Rfam family "Bacterial small subunit ribosomal RNA". The record is from RNAcentral.